CGGACGGGUGAGUAAUGUCUGGGAAACUGCCUGAUGGAGGGGGAUAACUACUGGAAACGGUAGCUAAUACCGCAUAACGUCGCAAGACCAAGAGGGGACCUUCGGGCCUCUUGCCAUCGGAUGUGCCCAGAUGGGAUUAGCUAGUAGGUGGGGUAAAGGCUCACCUAGGCGACGAUCCCUAGCUGGUCUGAGAGGAUGACCAGCCACACUGGAACUGAGACACGGUCCAG
Molecule: ribosomal RNA, 230 nt
Filed under: uncultured bacterium
Lineage: Bacteria
Description: partial 16S ribosomal RNA
Rfam family: Bacterial small subunit ribosomal RNA
Source: RNAcentral